RNAcentral lists this ribosomal RNA (497 nucleotides) under uncultured bacterium. RNAcentral's name for it is "bacterial SSU rRNA". It matches the Rfam family "Bacterial small subunit ribosomal RNA", at positions 28 to 507 of the family's 1533-position model. The record is from RNAcentral.
GACGAACGCUGGCGGCGUGCCUAACACAUGCAAGUCAAGGGGAAAGUAAGACUUCGGUUUAUGAGUAUACUGGCGGACGGUGAGUAACGCGUAGGCAACCUACCCUUCUGAUAGGGAUAACCCAUCGAAAGGUGGAUAAUACCUUAUACGGCGAUUUAAUCACAUGUUUAGAUUGUUAAAGUUCGCUUUAUAGCGAACACAAAAGGAUGGGCCUGCGUUCCAUUAGUUAGUUGGUGAGGUAACGGCUCACCAAGGCGACGAUGGAUAGCUGGUUUGAGAGAGUGAUCAGCCACACUGGGACUGAGAUACGGCCCAGACUCCUACGGGAGGCAGCAGUGAGGAAUAUUGCGCAAUGGGCGAAAGCCUGACGCAGCAACGCCGCGUGGGGGAUGAAUCUUUAUGGAGUGUAAACCCCUGUAAGGAGGGACGAAAGUUAUAAAGUCUAAGAGGCUUUAUAUUUGACGGUACCUUCAGAGUAAGCUCCGGCUAACUCCGUG